GAGUUAGUUGUUGACGUCGCAGAUGCGGACGAUGUCCACGAGGGCUAGCUCUACAAGACGCAAGGCGACUUCAAACGAGCUCUCAAAGCAUACGCAAUGAAAAGAGGUUUUGAGUACGCACGGACGAAAUGCAACGACCAUAAGAUAACCGCACGAUGCCGUGUCUCAGAUUGUCCUUGGAGAAUAAAGGCGCGUCAAGUACUAGGAAUUGCUCAAU
Molecule: long non-coding RNA, 217 nt
Filed under: Ananas comosus (pineapple)
Lineage: Eukaryota; Viridiplantae; Streptophyta; Magnoliopsida; Poales; Bromeliaceae
Description: long non-coding RNA (ACOM_LNC035758)
Source: RNAcentral